GAUUUAGGAUUUAUGAUUUGGUUUAGGAUUUAGAUUUAGUUUAGAAUUUAGGAUUUGGUUUAGAAUUUAGAAUUUGGUUAGGAUUUGAUUUAGGAUUUAGGUUUGGUUAGAAUUUGAUAUAGGAUUUAGAAUUUGGUUAAGAUUUGAUUUAAGGUUUAGGAUUUGAUUAGGAUUUGAUUUAAAAUUAGGAUUUGAUUAGGAUUUGAAUAUGAUUUGAUUUAGAGUUUAGAAUUUGAUUAGGAUUUGAUUUAGGAUUUAGGAUUUUAUUAGGAUUUAUUUAUGAUUUAAGAUUUAGUUAAUUUUUGGCCUACAGUUUGAAUGAAGUCUAAUAGGAUUUUAACUAGGAUUAAAUUAAGAUUGAAUUAAGAUGUAUUUGAGAUAUAUUUCUGAUCAUUCAAAUAUUUCUUUAAGAUUUCUUAUUGUUUCUUUGUAAUUCCUUUGAAGUUUCUUUGAAUUUAAUUAAAGCUUGUUUAAUAUUAUUAUAGUCUUAUUUGAAUUUAGUUAGUAUUCUAUUAGAAUUAAGAUUUUGUUGUUGCAAUUUCUACUCUAUCUUCUGCAAUCAAGUGCUCGGAGAAUUCUCAAGCAAGACUUCACGUAUUAUGACAACAUGUUGCUACACCACUU
This 624-nucleotide long non-coding RNA is filed under the name Physcomitrium patens. RNAcentral's name for it is "long non-coding RNA (PPAT_LNC006587)". Lineage: Eukaryota; Viridiplantae; Streptophyta; Bryopsida; Funariales; Funariaceae. The record is from RNAcentral.